GAUGAAGAACGUAGUGAAAUGCGAUAAGUAAUGUGAAUUGCAGAAUUCAGUGAAUCAUCGAAUCUUUGAACGCACAUUGCGCCCGCCAGUAUUCUGGCGGGCAUGCCUGUUCGAGCGUCAUUUCAACCAUCAAGCCCCAGGCUUGUGUUGGAGCCCUGCGGCUGCCGCAGCCUCCCAAAACCAGUGGCGGGCUCGCUAUCACACCGAGUGCAGUAGUUUACUCUUCGCUCAGGGCGUGUGGCGGGUGCUAGCCGUAAAACCCCCAACUUCUCAAGGUUGACCUCGGAUCAGGUAGGAAUACCCGCUGAACUUAAGCAUAUCAAUAAGCGGAGGA
This 334-nucleotide unclassified non-coding RNA is filed under the name soil metagenome. Its description in RNAcentral is "partial contains 5.8S ribosomal RNA, internal transcribed spacer 2, and large subunit ribosomal RNA". The stretch from base 1 to 120 matches the Rfam family "5.8S ribosomal RNA", at positions 35 to 154 of the family's 154-position model. The record is from RNAcentral.